GCCUCCGUAGCAUAGCGGUGGUGCACGUCCUUGGUAAGGACGAGGUCGUGGGUUCAAAUCCCGCCGGAGGCU
This 72-nucleotide transfer RNA is filed under the name Candidatus Woesearchaeota archaeon CG10_big_fil_rev_8_21_14_0_10_44_13. RNAcentral describes it as "tRNA-Thr". It matches the Rfam family "tRNA". Rfam says of the family: Transfer RNA (tRNA) molecules are approximately 80 nucleotides in length. The record is from RNAcentral. Lineage: Archaea; Nanobdellati; Candidatus Woesearchaeota.